RNAcentral lists this ribosomal RNA (1079 nucleotides) under Latilactobacillus sakei. RNAcentral's name for it is "bacterial SSU rRNA". It matches the Rfam family "Bacterial small subunit ribosomal RNA", at positions 85 to 1152 of the family's 1533-position model. Lineage: Bacteria; Bacillati; Bacillota; Bacilli; Lactobacillales; Lactobacillaceae. The record is from RNAcentral.
AUUUGAGUGAGUGGCGGACGGGUGAGUAACACGUGGGUAACCUGCCCUAAAGUGGGGGAUAACAUUUGGAAACAGAUGCUAAUACCGCAUAAAACCUAACACCGCAUGGUGUAGGGUUGAAAGAUGGUUUCGGCUAUCACUUUAGGAUGGACCCGCGGUGCAUUAGUUAGUUGGUGAGGUAAAGGCUCACCAAGACCGUGAUGCAUAGCCGACCUGAGAGGGUAAUCGGCCACACUGGGACUGAGACACGGCCCAGACUCCUACGGGAGGCAGCAGUAGGGAAUCUUCCACAAUGGACGAAAGUCUGAUGGAGCAACGCCGCGUGAGUGAAGAAGGUUUUCGGAUCGUAAAACUCUGUUGUUGGAGAAGAAUGUAUCUGAUAGUAACUGAUCAGGUAGUGACGGUAUCCAACCAGAAAGCCACGGCUAACUACGUGCCAGCAGCCGCGGUAAUACGUAGGUGGCAAGCGUUGUCCGGAUUUAUUGGGCGUAAAGCGAGCGCAGGCGGUUUCUUAAGUCUGAUGUGAAAGCCUUCGGCUCAACCGAAGAAGUGCAUCGGAAACUGGGAAACUUGAGUGCAGAAGAGGACAGUGGAACUCCAUGUGUAGCGGUGAAAUGCGUAGAUAUAUGGAAGAACACCAGUGGCGAAGGCGGCUGUCUGGUCUGUAACUGACGCUGAGGCUCGAAAGCAUGGGUAGCAAACAGGAUUAGAUACCCUGGUAGUCCAUGCCGUAAACGAUGAGUGCUAGGUGUUGGAGGGUUUCCGCCCUUCAGUGCCGCAGCUAACGCAUUAAGCACUCCGCCUGGAGAGUACGACCGCAAGGUUGAAACUCAGAGGAAUUGACGGGCGCCCGCACAAGCGGUGGAGCAUGUGGUUUAAUUCGAAGCAACGCGAAGAACCUUACCAGGUCUUGACAUCCUUUGACCACUCUAGAGAUAGAGCUUUCCCUUCGGGGACAAAGUGACAGGUGGUGCAUGGUUGUCGUCAGCUCGUGUCGUGAGAUGUUGGGUUAAGUCCCGCAACGAGCGCACCCUUAUUACUAGUUGCCAGCAUUUAGUUGGGCACUCUAGUGAGACUGC